CGCAAAAUUCGUACUUUGUAAACAUAGAGGCUGUGAAGUUGUAUGAGAAAAUUCGAAAAUGCACAUCACAGGCUUAGUCUUGGCCAGAGGAGGCAGCAAAGGAAUCAAGAAUAAAAAUCUCGCUCUCCUAGAUAACCAGCCACUCUUGUUGCGGACACUGGGCAUAAUGCACAACGCUAAAUGUUUCAGCAGCAUAUGGGUUAGCACUGACAGCGAGAAGAUAGCAGAAUGUGCACGUAAGGGGGGAGCAAAUGUGCAUUGGAGAGCAGGAUUCACAGCGACUGAUGAUGCUCCCUCACUGGUGGCUGUGCAGGAGUUUGUGCAGUACCAUCCAGACAUUGAGGUGGUGUGUCUUGUACAGUGUACAUCGCCCUUUAUGAAACCAUGCUACCUGCAAUGGGGUCUACAGAAGAUUGUGAAUGGCCAUGACUCUGUCUUCUCGGUUACAAGAAAGCAUUAUCUCAGAUGGGCUGAAGGUAGUGAGGAGACUCUCCCACAGAACUUUGAUCCUCAUCAGCGUCCCAGUCGGCAGAACUGGGCUGGGGAACUGUGCGAGAAUGGGAUGUUCUAUUACACCCGAGUGGGUCUCCUGAAACAAGGACUUCUGCAAGGGGGACGAUGUGGAUACAUUGAAAUACCACCAGAGAAUAGCAUGGACAUAGACACACCUCUAGACCUCAUCAUUGCUGAGCAGCUAGUUAAUUACUGUGACAACAAACAAACUUGAUUAUGGUCAGGUUUUAGGGUGAAAUUUUUUUGGCCAACAACUUCUGCUGUGGUUGAUUGUUCUAAGUUGGUAUAGUACUGAUCUGAAAAGAAGGAUUUUCUUGAUAGUUAUCUGCCUUUCAGGUAAUCUGAUGAUGCCAGGGAUGGCAUGUAUAUACAUACCAUGUCCACUGUGAGUUUAUUUUAUUUAUUGUCUUUAUACAUAGAUGGCUCCACUUAGUCACUAAGGAGACAAUUACUAGUACUACUUGUCUCACCUGUUUACCCUUUUCCUUGAUUUUUGGAAAGAUUUUCUUUUAUCUUAUAUUGCUGUUAGUAAUGUGAAUAGCAUUAUAGUAAUCAUAAUGUCUAUAUUAAUAAUAACAUCAUCAACUUUGAUAGGGUUACUAAAAAAAAAAGAUCUUGAAAACACGAGGAAAGGUGAAAUCAGGUGAAAUCACGAGGUUGACUACCUGACUAUUUGGUAGCUUAAGUACUAGUGGAGCCAUCUUUAUGUAGAGACAUUCCUCAAAACAAAUUUACAGUGAAAACUGCCUUUUCCCAACAGCACUUGGUUAAUGGUCCAUACAAGAUAUUCAUGAAAGAAAUCCCUUGCAGAUACAACAUACAGAAGGAAAUUAUUGUAUGGGAUUUGAUGGAAUGAGUACUGGCUGACCUGAAAUGUUGGUUAAAGUUGUUGGUCCAAAUUUAUCUUCUCUCAGUGGUUGAAGAAACUGCUCAAGAUUUUUAUAUUUAAAGUUUAAAAAAAUGAUAUUGUCUUUCAAGAAGGUAAAGCUUUACAAUUGUGCCAAAAAAUGGUGAUAAAGUAUCAUAAAGCCUGAAGAGACCUUGAAAUGAUACUUUUAAAAAAUAUAGACAUAGAAACAAAAUAACUAGACUAGAAGAAAACAUAUUUGAAGAUAUUGAUUAAAGGAGCAUGUAAUGUCUUAUGAUCUAAAUCAUUGCUUUUAGUUCAUUUACAUUUUAUCAUUACCUCUCCUUAGCUUGAGCUUUGGCAGAUAUAUCCUUCUUCCAAUAAGUCUUUUUAGCAAAUUUAUAAUAUGUUUCUCAUCUUUUAGUCUUUUUUCAAGCAUUCACAUUUAUGCACCACAUGAUGAAAGGCAAUUCAUCAUAAUCUUCCACUGAUCAAUUAGUUAUAAUCAUAGCUUUGUAUAGGAUGCACUAUCUCAACUUGGAUUUUUAGGGUUGACUUUUUCUAUUCCUGUUUAUCUUCACUGUAGUGUAGAUUUAGAAUCUUUAAUUAUAUAUAAUUAUAAGUUAUUUAGAAUCCUUUUGAAAUACAUAUUAGAAUUCUCAGGUCUGAAGUGAGAGGUAAAACAAAACAAAAUACAAAUUAGAAGAAAAGAACAAAAUAGAAACAGAUAGAUAUGUCACAGAAGUUUCUAGGAUAGACAAUCAUAUAGUUAGCUAACAACUGCCACAAUUGUAAAUAUUUUUUAUUGUUAUUAAGCUUUAAGAUGAAUUUCUUGUUAGUAGUGAUAUGAAAGAGGCUGUAAUAUUCCAUUUUCUUUCAUAAAAAAUAUUUGGCUUAAUUAAAGACUUCAUCUUGAUACAACUUCCAAUAUUCUAAGUGAUUAAUUUAGUCAUUUUUUUCUUAGUCCUUAUGGAAUAAGCACAAAGCAUUUUUAGGGUAUUAGAUAAGGAGAGCAUUCAGUUUACAGUACUUUAGAAAACUAUAUUUAUGCUAAAUAAAGUAAGAAUAUACAACUGAAUACCCAAAUUGGUUUUGUGUUUUCCAUUCCCUACAGAAUCAACAUAAUGCAAACAAUUUUGACUGACACAUAUAGAAGAAAUGGUAUGAAGUGAGAAUAAGAUUCCUCACAGAGAUGUAUUUGGCCAGUUUUAAUUAUAUCAUUACCGCUCAAAUACAUGUCAUUUAUAUCACAUAUUUUAAACAGAUGUAAUAAAACCUGUCAAAAAACCUGUCAAAUAUAUCUCUUAUAUCUCUUUAUUUUCAUUCAUAUCUUUUCAGAUUAUGUAUGAUAAUCCGGCAGAUACUAGUUCCCAUUAGCAUUGAAAAGUCAAGGUGGAUUUGUAUUGGUUGUAUAAUGGCCUGUCCACACAAGGGGGCAUGGUUGGCAGAAACAUUGGCGGGCAACUAUAAAACUGACAUCACAGAUGGACAACAGGAAAAACAAAACUGUACUGACACUGCCCUUGUUGAUCUGAUAUCACAGUAGAAGUUUAUGCAUUGUUGAUAUAUUACAUGUGCAUUUUGUGAAAUGAUUAUAUUUGAGCAGAUUUAAAAUUGUUCCAAAUUUCACACCUUUCUUUGUCACUAACUUGUCAAUGAAGGAUACAUGAUGCACUCUCCAUUUCCAUUCUUCCUAUUAUUUUAAUCCAUGUAUUAUCAAUGUUUUAUGUCAUACUAUUCCUUAUAUGUAGCUUUAUAAAGAAAAAUUGUUAACUUUAUA
RNAcentral lists this unclassified non-coding RNA (3140 nucleotides) under Penaeus monodon (black tiger shrimp). Its description in RNAcentral is "n-acylneuraminate cytidylyltransferase A-like, transcript variant X2". The record is from RNAcentral. Lineage: Eukaryota; Metazoa; Arthropoda; Malacostraca; Decapoda; Penaeidae.